AUCAUUAACGAGUUUUGAAACGAGUUGUAGCUGGCCUUCCGAGGCAUGUGCACGCUCUGCUCAUCCACUCUACCCCUGUGCACUUACUGUAGGUUGGCGUGGGCUCCUUAACGGGAGCAUUCUGCCGGCCUAUGUAUACUACAAACACUUUAAAGUAUCAGAAUGUAAACGCGUCUAACGCAUCUAUAAUACAACUUUUAGCAACGGAUCUCUUGGCUCUCGCAUCGAUGAAGAACGCAGCGAAAUGCGAUAAGUAAUGUGAAUUGCAGAAUUCAGUGAAUCAUCGAAUCUUUGAACGCACCUUGCGCUCCUUGGUAUUCCGAGGAGCAUGCCUGUUUGAGUGUCAUGGAAUUCUCAACUUAUAAAUCCUUGUGAUCUAUAAGCUUGGACUUGGAGGCUUGCUGGCCCUCGUUGGUCGGCUCCUCUUGAAUGCAUUAGCUUGAUUCCGUACGGAUCGGCUCUCAGUGUGAUAAUUGUCUACGCUGUGACCGUGAAGUGUUUUGGCGAGCUUCUAACCGUCCAUUAGGACAAC
RNAcentral lists this ribosomal RNA (532 nucleotides) under Trametes versicolor. RNAcentral's name for it is "eukaryotic LSU rRNA". The stretch from base 193 to 346 matches the Rfam family "5.8S ribosomal RNA". Lineage: Eukaryota; Fungi; Basidiomycota; Agaricomycetes; Polyporales; Polyporaceae. The record is from RNAcentral.